Molecule: long non-coding RNA, 325 nt
Filed under: Junco hyemalis (dark-eyed junco)
Lineage: Eukaryota; Metazoa; Chordata; Aves; Passeriformes; Passerellidae
Description: lncRNA (ENSJHYG00000002970.1)
Source: RNAcentral
CUCCAGUCCUUUCAGCUUUGUGACCAUGUGAUUUCAACAGAGGCAUUUUGCUGAGGCAUUUACCUACAUUCUUCACUAUUGACUGAUUUCUGCCAGAUUUUAUCUUCUCCUCCCAUCGACUUCAUUUGAGCCACGUAACUGCAAAUGAUUGGUGUGAAAGAUACCCUGACUUCUACAGCAUUGGAGUAACUCCACCCAAUCUAAAAUCCAGUCAUUCCUAGGGGAAAAGAGAUGCAACCCUGAGACUUCACCUGAAAGAACAGAGGAUCUGAUAAUGCAGUUCUGAGGUAAAACCUCUCUUUAAAAUUGCUCCAUAUACAGCAAG